AUAAAUUCAAAUCAUCUUCAACAGAAAAGUAAAAAGCAUCGAUCUUUAAUGUAAGAGAAUGAGAAGGAGACCUGGAAUUGGCGGGUUACAAACCGCCGCUGCUGCUAGGGAUCAAUACCGAUUACUAGGUGAAAAUGUAGCCAAGUUAAGAACUGAUCUUAUGAAAGAACAGCUCUCCACUUUUCGUUCUCAGCUUCAAGAUUUUGCCCGUAAACAUAAGAAUGAUAUUCGAAAGAACCCGACUUUUAGAGCUCAAUUUCAUGACAUGUGUGCUAAAGUGGGAGUGGAUCCUUUGGCCUCUAAUAAAGGUUUUUGGGCGGAGCUGCUAGGGAUUGGCGAUUUCUAUUAUGAACUUGGAGUACAAAUUGUUGAAAUAUGCUUGGCAACAAGACCCCACAAUGGAGGUUUGAUCAACCUGCAGGAACUUUGCACUCUACUUCGCCAGAAACGAAAAAGUGACCGCGAAGCAGUUUCUGAGGAUGACUGUUUGCGUGCCAUAAGUAAGCUUAAGAUACUAGGGAGCGGUUUUGAGGUGAUUUCUGUUGGAAAAAGAAAGCUUGUUCGGUCUGUUCCAACUGAAUUAAACAAAGACCAUAAUGAAAUUUUAGAGCUGGCUCAGGCUCAAGGCUUUGUGACUGUUGAUGAGGUUGAGAGGCGACUUUCUUGGACAUCUGGUCGUGCCAUUGAUGCUCUUGAUACCUUAUUAGAUGAGGGUCUUGCGAUGAUUGAUGAUGGUCACAGUGAUGGAAAACGCCGCUAUUGGUUUCCUUGUGUCUCUUCCAUAUCUUCUUCAGUAGGGGCCUGAUAUGUAACACACAAGGCUUGCAUCACAUACAGACUGUACUUAUACACGGUAAAACACAAGACACAUUGCUGCAACUGCAAGUGCUUGAUACAGAGCCUUUAAUGGGUACCUUCCUUCUAAUAAUGGAUCUGCCAUUAAUACAAACUUCCUUUUGUCUUUGAAUAAUGGUGUUGCCUGCAUUGCAUGAAUAUGUAGAUAUACCAUCAAUUUUAUAGCAUAAUUCUGUAUGGAAAAUAGCAUGUAACAUGGUGCUUCUUACCCAAGUAACUAGAUUUUGUUCUUC
Molecule: RNA transcript, 1088 nt
Organism: Mercurialis annua (annual mercury)
Lineage: Eukaryota; Viridiplantae; Streptophyta; Magnoliopsida; Malpighiales; Euphorbiaceae
Gene name: vacuolar protein sorting-associated protein 22 homolog 1
Exons: 8
Source: RefSeq, a predicted model, not a curated record